Molecule: non-coding RNA, 3959 nt
Organism: Doryrhamphus excisus (bluestripe pipefish)
Lineage: Eukaryota; Metazoa; Chordata; Actinopteri; Syngnathiformes; Syngnathidae
Source: RefSeq, a predicted model, not a curated record
CUUUAAAAGGCAAGCAAACCAGUUGCAUCAGUUUUAAUGCCACAGGGAAGAAACAGACGUUCCGGCCUGAUGGCUCGAUGCUAACAUCUACUGGCGAAAAUUCCGAAAGACAACUUUCAUGUUGUCCUACAAAACAAAGCUGAACCAGCCAGAAUCCGAGAGGCCCCGCACUUGUAUCCCGGUGUGUCCGAGUCCCUCCAGAAGCUCCGACACUCGGUCCACAUUCAGCAGGACCCCCGUCCCACCAGCACUGCAUUGCACAGGGCUUCCGUCGUUGCAGGUGACUGACGCGUUCUCCAGAAAGUUGAGCCUCAUGUCAUGGUCGAGCUUCUGCGCCGAGCACGGAUACAGAGACUGCGCCAGGUUCUUGACUUGAGUCAUGAAGUUAUCCAUGUUCUCCUCCACGGCGGUGAAAUCCAGCGGGAAACUCUCCGUGGUGUCGCCCCGGUUGUUCGCCGACCGAUACGUGGGAGGAGGCGGCGCGCGUCGCGGUUGCGGAUUGCGGCCACCCCGGAACCUCCGCGCGCAAAAGCCGGACAGGGCCUCCAAAGAUCAAAGCAACCAUCCGUCUUUCUCCCCCCCGCCUCCUCUCCCAUCAUCCCUCCUACAUCAGUCUCUCUCCAAACUUUUUUCCUGGAGUUACUGUAUAUUUUAAGACGAGCAGAGCAUCCCUUUUCGACGGGGGCAGCGAACUCCAAACACAAGAACGUCUCGUUACAGGUGCCCCCCCCACCCCCCCAAGCAACCUUUCAUUUUAAGGACAAGUAUUCGGUUCACAAGCCAAGCACGUGUAAAAGCCAAACAUUUUAACCACACAUCAUCAGCUAGAGCUUCUGGGACAUUUUGUGCCAUUUAGGGCUGUGAUGAAUGAAUAUAAGUGAAAUUUACCAUAUCUCAGAGAUUUUUACAAUUAUCUUUUAUUUAACUUAUAUUAAAAUUAUAACAUUUGGUAUUUUCUAAUCCUGGAAAUACUGUACCACCACAUUCACGUGUGUUAAGUAGCGUUAGCUUCUAACACACAGCAGCUGCAAAGCAAGAAGCUAGACUAUAGUUCAUUCAUUCAUUUUCUACCGCUUUUCCUCACGAGGAUCGCGGGGGUGCUGGAGCCUAUCCCAGCUGUCUUUGGGCGAGAGGUGGGGUACACCCUGGACUGGUCGCCAGCCAAUCACACGGCACAUAUAGACAAUCACACUCACAUUCAUACCUAUAGACAAUUUGGAGUCGCUAAUUAACCUAGCAUGUUUUUGGAAUGUUGGAGGAAACCGGAGUACCCGGAGAAAACCCACGCAUGCACGGGAAGACGGGAAGAACACGCAGAGAUGGCCGAGGGUGGAAUUGAACCUUGGUCUCCUAGCUGUGAGGUCUGCGUGCUAACCACUCGACCACCGUGCCUUAGACUAUAGUUAUGCAGCCAUAUUAUUCAACGUAACCAGAAAUCUAUAUAGAUGUCAAUUUUAUGUAUUGACAUGUAAAAAUCACAUGGUGUCUAAAUCAUCAUGAUAGUUAUCUCUGGCAUAUUUUGCUUUAUUUGCCACGAUUUUUAAUUAACUGAAAUAUUGAGCAGUUAUCUUUUGACAUGUUUAUGAUGUAGCAGUGAUUGAACACUGGGGGAAAAAUAGCAUUUCCUUUUCAGGUUGGUUGAAACAUAUCAUGUAGAAUCUUUGAAAUGUGGUAGGAAUUCUAGUCAUGUCAGGUGUAGAAAUUCUCCCCCUCAGGACUCUUAGGGUUUUGAAUAGAUGAUAAGGGAAUCUUAAAGAACCAAAUUAUAGAAUGAGAACCAGAUUGUUUAUUCCUGACAGUAAUGCCUAAUACAGACGUCCGGGCUUAAUAUAAAAUAAUAUAUAAAAUAAGGGAAUCUUAAAGAACUAGUCCCUGUAUUCCUACAAGUAAGCGGGUCUUAUUACAGCGCAGCUGCAAAAAAGCACACUUCCUUUCCCUGCCCGGCCUUUUAUACACUUGAGGCUGGAGUCCUGGACCAAUCAGCUUUCGCCACUGCCCUUGCUUGAACUGCUUUCAUGGUGGUUUUCCUUUCGUUUUUCGCUGUGGCAUCAAGGCAUCUUUUCCUUUGCAGGGGCAUCAAGGCGUCUGGAACAUUGUGCUUUUCCUUUGUUGCAACGCAAGCUGUCAUAUGCGUACUCAAUGUUAUCACCUUAACUGUCAGAUGUCACGUUAGUCCAAUACAAUACGUGCUUAUCUGCCGUCCCUGUAUGCCUACAAGUAAGCGGGUCUUAUUACAGCGCAGCUGCAAAAAAGCACCCGUCCGUUCCCUGCCCGGCCUUUUAUACACUCAAGAUUGUUUACGUGGCUGGAGUCAUGGACCAAUCAGCUUUCGUCUCUGCCCUUCCUUGAACCGCUUUCAUGGUGUUUCUGCUUUUGUUUGUUCGCAGUGGAAUCAAGCUGUCAUAUGCGUACUCGAUGUUUCCACCUUAACUGUCAGUUGUCACGUUAGUCCUUUUUUGUGCGGGUGCGCGUAUAAGUAUCUUUUGUCUGUAUUUGUGAGACUAUGUGUUUGUUUUAGCUUUUAUCUUUAGCUAGCAAAAUUGAGCAAAUACCUUCACAGGAACGGUAUUUGUAAAGCCGCAAAAAAGAAACCCAAAACAUUUUAACUGAUGACGUGGAGGUCUCGUAAUCCAGGUAAGAACGGAGCAGGGUCGUAGGUAUUCACCGGGGAACUUAAAACAGAUGCUUGUAUAGAUUACAGCCAAAGACGGAGAGACUCUGUCACAGAUUGACUCGAGUCACUUUGACCCCGUACCUCUCUUGUUUUUAUCACGCCUCAUCCCCAAAUAUGUAACCCUGUGAAAUCGCUCGCAGAUGGAGGCUGGCUUCUGACAAAUACGCUACCAUGAAGGGAUGCCCCCGGUCUUCUGACCCAACUUUAAAGUCAUCCACGAUGGAGCUGAAGAAAGUUGGAGCAUUUCGAUAAAGGAGUCCCUCUGUGGAAGAAAGUUGGAGCAUUUUGAUAAAGCCAUAAACCAACAACAGGAAAUCCUUUGUGAGUUGCCAACUGUUUUACCCAAAAAGAUUACAUCUCCGAAUUUAAGUGAUGAUCUUCUCGCUGAGAUGCCAUUCUGCCCCGUUUCCCCCCUCUCCGUGAUCCAUUGGAAAUGAUCUGAAGGGCAAAGUAGGAAUAAUGAAGACCAGAAAGCGAAUGGACCAAAAUGACGUUAAAAAGAGAGGAAAAAACUUCAAACAGCAACUCCAUGGACUUUGAUGUUUGUGUCUUUCAUUCGGAAACUGUGUGGCCAUUUCAAACAUUUUUAUGGGUCCUUCAUCUUGUCUUCUCAACACUUUUUUUUCCCUCCGCACGCAAAAACAAUAUCUCAAGCAUGGUCAUGGUUGUUAUGAUGAGCGAAACAACAAAGGACCUCAUGGACGUCUUCAUUACGGUCGUUUUUUUGGUCUUCUUCUGUCAAACAGGUUAAACCAGGAAGUGGUCACAUAACAUCCAUCAGCCCUUUGUUUGAGAUGCUAACGGUUGUUAGCUUCCAACCUGUUGUUUGGCUCCCAGACUAGUUUUUUUUUUUUACCUGGUUGGGCCUGCCCAAGGUGGACCAGUAGUCUACAAGAGGUGUGGAUUUGAGUCAGACUCAAGGCGAGAUUUUGAUGGCUGUGGACUUGACUUGAACUUGAGUCUAGUGACUCGAUACAUACCGUUAUGUCAUUUCUGCCCAGACACCAACAUUUCCCUCAGAAUUUGCCUCAUUUUACGAAUAUCCAAUCAGGUUUAAGAACAGACAAAAAGGGUGUGGUUUACAUUUGUGUGAGAUCUGGAGAUUGGCAGUGGUUAACACUGAUUUGCAUAUGCAAAUUACGUGGUUAUAAUGGUAUUAUAACUUUCAAAAGUGCUUAUCACUUGUAAGGACCUGGAAAUUUCAAGUCAAUGACUUUGGACUUGGGCUGCACGGUGGUCGAGUGGUAAGCGCACAGGCCUCACAGCUAGGAGACCCGAGUUCAAU